RNAcentral lists this ribosomal RNA (229 nucleotides) under uncultured bacterium. RNAcentral describes it as "partial 16S ribosomal RNA". It matches the Rfam family "Bacterial small subunit ribosomal RNA", at positions 118 to 348 of the family's 1533-position model. The record is from RNAcentral.
UGAGCAAUCUGCCCUUCUCAUCGGAAUAAGCGUUGGAAACGAUGUCUAAUGCCGAAUACGACCUCCUUUCGCAUGAUCGGAGGUGGAAAGCUCCGGCGGAGAAGGAUGAGCUCGCGGCCUAUCAGCUAGUUGGUGUGGGUAAUGGCCCACCAAGGCGACGACGGGUAGCCGGCCUGAGAGGGUGACCGGCCACACUGGGACUGAGACACGGCCCAGACUCCUAGGGAGG